UACGUAGGGGCUAGCGUUAUCCGGAAUUACUGGGCGUAAAGGGUGCGUAGGCGGUCUUUCAAGCCAGAAGUGAAAGGCUACGGCUCAACCGUAGUAAGCUUUUGGAACUGUAAGACUUGUGUGCAGGAGAGGAGAGUGGAAUUCCUAGUGUAGCGGUGAAAUGCAUAGAUAUUAGGAGGAACACCAGUAGCGAAGGCGGCUCUCUGGACUGUAACUGACGCUGAGGCACGAAAGCGUGGGGAGCAAACAGGAUUAGAUACCCUGGUAGU
RNAcentral lists this ribosomal RNA (269 nucleotides) under uncultured prokaryote. RNAcentral describes it as "partial 16S ribosomal RNA". It matches the Rfam family "Bacterial small subunit ribosomal RNA", at positions 524 to 794 of the family's 1533-position model. The record is from RNAcentral.